This 139-nucleotide small RNA is filed under the name uncultured Bacteroides sp. Its description in RNAcentral is "GibS sRNA". It matches the Rfam family "GibS sRNA". Rfam says of the family: A small RNA with a conserved region in the 5' region in gene clusters, related to carbon metabolism in Bacteroidetes. Lineage: Bacteria; Pseudomonadati; Bacteroidota; Bacteroidia; Bacteroidales; Bacteroidaceae. The record is from RNAcentral.
GUGUUUUUCAUAGUAUUAGAUAUAAGAUUAAUUAAAAGACGUACCCGCUUGUGAUAAGUAAGUACAUCAAAAACAGAAGCGUCUGUUUGAUUGAUAAAUGUGUAAGGAGCAUCGGUUUACCAGAGCCGAUGCUUUUUUU